RNAcentral lists this small nuclear RNA (135 nucleotides) under Cebus imitator (Panamanian white-faced capuchin). RNAcentral describes it as "U1 spliceosomal RNA (ENSCCAG00000005306.1)". It matches the Rfam family "U1 spliceosomal RNA". Rfam says of the family: U1 is a small nuclear RNA (snRNA) component of the spliceosome (involved in pre-mRNA splicing). Its 5' end forms complementary base pairs with the 5' splice junction, thus defining the 5' donor site of an intron. The record is from Rfam by way of RNAcentral. Lineage: Eukaryota; Metazoa; Chordata; Mammalia; Primates; Cebidae.
AUACUUACCUGAUUUUCCCAGGGCAAGGCUUAUCCAUUGCACUCCGGAUGUGCUGACCCCUGCAAUUUCCCCAAAUGUGGGAAACUCAACUGCAUAAUUUGUGGUAGUGGGGGACUACAUUCGUGCUUUCCUCAG